Tachysurus fulvidraco (yellow catfish) is the source of this 2931-nucleotide long non-coding RNA. RefSeq lists it as uncharacterized. The transcript has 3 exons. Lineage: Eukaryota; Metazoa; Chordata; Actinopteri; Siluriformes; Bagridae. The record is from RefSeq and is a predicted model, not a curated record.
CAGACCUGGAAAUCGAGAUUCUGAAACAAAAGCUAAAGUGGUGGUGGAUAUCAUGAUUAAUUAGCCUUACUAAUAUGUUCUGCAUCCCCGAUAUUAUACAAAAAACUACCAUUUGGAAAGAAACGUAAGGCAACGCAAAGGAUCUGCUCGGAUGUAAGCGCAUGGCCAUGAUGGCUGAUGUUUCUGAUGGUCACGGAAAAAGAAGAAAACUAUACUAGAAGCCACAGUCGAAUGCUUUGCAAAGGUCCUGUCUGAUAAUCUCUCCAAAGAAUGGCAACUUGCCAUGCAGAUGCAAGCAGCCCAGAAUGAACAUGAGGCUAGAAUGUUUGGGAUCAUAGUUUAAGCAAUAACAAGUGCACACCAUGGGCCAGCCAUGCCACCUCAUGGUAGCAUGUACAUGCCAUUUCCGACACAACAGCCACAUUUGCAUCCUAGCCAGGUGGUCCACACUCGUUCACCUGGACACCGGGCUCACCUCUAAAGGUACAGUUAACUGUUUUGCAACCCUACAAUUUAACUGGUAAAUAAAAUUGUUCCCAAUAGGUUCUAUAAUAUUGUACUUAAAAAGGUACAACAUUUUAAUGUGUUGUUCAACAUUACCCAUAAAGAUACAAAAGGGUACUUUUGAGGGUAUUUUACCACAAAGAAAACAGGACAAUUUAGUGCCUUUUUUUCUGACAGUGUACAGAUAAUGUUUUUAAUACUGUACAAUCUGUAUAUUGUAUUGCCUAACCUUAACCUCACAGAAACAGUUUACAAUUUUUACAGGACAUUACACACAUUUCCUACACUUAAUAACGCUUUCAAAAAUAAGAAUGAUAGGUUACUCACUGUGCCUGGAAAUCCACAAGGGCUUGCAAGAUUAAGAAAUGAUGUCCUUUGCGGUUGAAAUAGUCUUUGGCAUAGCUUUAUGCCUCGUUUAUCGGAAUGUGCUACUCGUCGAUGGCACCUACACAUUGAGGGAAACCCCAUAUUCGCUCAAAGCCAUCCCUGAUGUCCAGGAGCCUCUGGCCUGAGGGUAGAUGUAUGUCAUUCUGCAUGCAGGACAUAUCGCGCUGCAUAUACCUCCCACAAGCAAAUGCAUACUGAAGGCUCAGUCCAAACAGGUAUGAGAUCGUGUUAUAUCCGCUGCCGGUAGCAAGAUACCACAAAGCUAUGGCAAUGCGCUUAUCGACAGAUAUAGCCUGGCAGAGAUGAGUUUCCCUUUUAUUAACCUGCUUUGCAGGCUUGACACAAAGAUAAUUGAAUGUUCAGUGUCUCAUUCUAAAACUGGAGACCCAGUCUUGCUCCAUAAAAGAAGCGAGCACUAUGUUUUCCCACCAGUGCUGGCUCCGAUCUUUCAGGUGUCUUGUUGGGUCUUAAAAUGCACUGCUGCCGCCAUAGAAAAUGCAGCAAACAGACAUUAAUAAAAUACAUUAAUAAAAUUACGAUAUUAAUAUGUAGCCCUCUCUCCAAUAAAUGUGGCUCAAAUGUGAGAAUUAAGUCUAGGGAAAUUUACAAAUCAACAAUAACCUGGAGAGAGACACAUUUCUAAAUUAUACUAUUCCUAUUAAUCACGACACCCAGAUCUCAGAUAUUCACUUGAUGUUUGUGUUUACCUGCAAAUUGGAAAUGACAAAUAUUCAAAGAAAGAAAAAUGAACUCAACAAAUGUAUUUAUUUGUUUUCCUCAGAACUAUUUUGUCUCUGUGUAUUUUUUUUCUUUUUGUGUGUUCCUUUAAAUAAUCAAAUAAUUAAAUUUGCACAGUCACUCACCACAACAGUAGAUCUCAAAAACGUAACCCCAAAAGAAAUGAAGAAAGAAAAAAAACAAUUGUCACUGUACUCUCAAAUUUUACCCAGCUGGGAUUUUCAAUACACAGAUACCGCGCUAGUUGGAGCUCUUUUUAUGCAAGGCCGAUGUACUCACGAAACAGAGGAAAAUUGAAAUUCCAAUUUCAGGAUGACCACCUCCAAUUCUCACAUUCAGACGAGAUGAUAAACAGCAUCCGGGACAUUUUCCAUGACAACGAUGAAAGGAACCGCGAUGAACUCCUCCCUCCUUGAACGGGUUUGAUGCAUCCGCGAGAUUCAACACAGAACUCCCGAUUUUGACUUGUCGAAUUCAAUUUCUUAAGCACACUAAGCACGCAUUUGACAAACUCCACACACCACUGCAGUACCUUUGAACUGAAUUAUUAAAUUAAACACGGGUAUAAUCUUCCGGUUUACGAACGAAAUAUAGCUAGAAACUGUAACACUGAACUGAAAAAAAAACAAACACGGGAAUAUUCUUCCGAAAAAUUUGUAGAUCUGAAUCUAACAAAACAAAUAAAUAUAUGAGAGUAUCUCACGUGCAGAUCCUCGUGCUAGCUUUCUUCCAUAGCUCUGACUCACGAGUUGAAAUGCACGCAGCCUGUCGCCGAAAUCUCUCAAACUCCAAAAGUUACACCCACAACUCUUCACAGAUAAACUGUCACUCAGAAUGUCCGUGAGCCUUGACUAAUAUCAGUUUUUCUCCAAACCGACCAAUUUUCCAUGUCAAACUCAACUUUUUUCCCCGCGCAAUAUCCUCACUUCCCGUGUUAACAAAAACUGCACACCCCCGUGUCCGUUUUCCUCUAACCCCUCCCCUUGAACUUGAGAGGUCAAAAUCCACAUCUCUCAUAGGACAGAAAAGAAAUGAUGUUUUCAGAAAACGCAAUAAUCCAGUUUUUUUUCAAUAUCUUACAUACACACACAUUUGAAAAUUCCUUUAGAAAUAUGACUUAGAAAAAUAAAUAAAUAAAUAAAAUAAAUAAAAACAUUUGUCAGCGUAUGUGUGCCUUAUGUCAGACCCAAAACACACACACAAAAUAAAACAGUUAAAGAUUCAGAAAUCCAAAGAUUUCGUCAGGGUUCUACAUUCUCCCCCCACCAAGAAUCGUUAUGUCCUCAUAACGAGGGAAAAGCA